This 253-nucleotide ribosomal RNA is filed under the name uncultured bacterium. RNAcentral describes it as "partial 16S ribosomal RNA". It matches the Rfam family "Bacterial small subunit ribosomal RNA", at positions 524 to 776 of the family's 1533-position model. The record is from RNAcentral.
AACGUAGGAGACAAACGUUAUCCGGAGUUACUGGGCGUAAAGGGCGUGCAGGUGGUUGGUUAAGUCUGGCGUGAAAGCCUCCGGCUCAACCGGGGAAAGUCGUCGGAGACUGACUAACUAGAGGGCAGUAGAGGCGUGUGGAAUUCCGGGUGUAGUGGUGAAAUGCGUAGAGAUCCGGAGGAACACCAGUGGCGAAGGCGACACGCUGGGCUGCACCUGACACUGAGACGCGACAGCAUGGGGAGCGAACGGG